Pelobates cultripes (western spadefoot toad) is the source of this 271-nucleotide non-coding RNA. The record is from the annotation of a GenBank genome assembly. NCBI's taxonomy places the organism in Eukaryota, Metazoa, Chordata, Amphibia, Anura, Pelobatidae.
UUUUAUGAUUUUUUUAAGGUAUCCCUGAACAGAAAAAAAAAUAUUUGCCCUACUUUCAUAUGUGAGCAAUCCACCAUAUGUUCCCAAUUAAAUCUAUACUAAUUAGGUGGUGAAGGGUUAAAUAAAAAAAAUGUUUACAGUGGAAUUUGACUCCCACGUGACAUACCUUUAGAAAUACAUAAAAGGAUCCGGAUUUGAUACAUAAUUAUUAGGCAUGGAAGCUAGACUGCUAUUUUUAAAGGGACAUUCCAAUUAGCAAAACAACAUUUUU